Molecule: ribosomal RNA, 302 nt
Filed under: Drosophila cardini
Lineage: Eukaryota; Metazoa; Arthropoda; Insecta; Diptera; Drosophilidae
Description: partial 28S ribosomal RNA
Source: RNAcentral
UUGCCGAUGACCUGAAUAUCCGUUAUGGAAAAUUCAUCAUUAGACUUGUAAUAUUUAAACAAUAUUAUAAUAAUAGUGUGCAUUUUUUCCAUAUAAGGACAUUGUAAUCUAUUAGUUAAAAAUAAUUUAUCAAAAAAUUUUAGAUAAAAGUUUAUUUAAAUUAAAAUGCUUGCAUUUUAACAUAAAAUAAAUGUCUUUAAUUUGAUAAAGUGCUGAUAGAUUUAUAUGAAUACAGUGCGUUAAUUUUUCGGAAUUAUAUAAUGGCAUGAUUAUCAUUGAUUUUUGUGUUUAUUAUAUGCACU